GUGACACCUGAACAGUGGCGAGUUCUCGUGAUUGUUAGUGAGUGAGUCAACAUGUUACAGCGCGCCGGGAAAGAUUACAGCUAUAUAGCGAUGAAAACAAGAUUGCAGUGCUGCGGUCGAAGCUGGCUUGACUGUACCUGGGGACAUCGACGUUAUAGAGAUAAAGCCUCUGGAAGUCGAUGAGCCGUUUUGGGUGAAGUGCUACCUCAAUCACGGGGGGUACACCUACAUCGUGGAACGUAUGCCGAACUGUCACUUCGACUUCAUGGACAGAGAUUACGACGAGUACGAAAUGGGGUUCGGUGACGUAGAGGGUUGUUCCUAUUUUCUCGGCCUCGACAAGAUUCAGAAGAUGCUGAUGAGCGAGACGUACAACCUGGAUGUGGAUCUUGUGGGGAUGGAUUCUUCGGCCAUGCUUACUACAGCAAGUUCUUCCUGAACGAGGCCAUUAACGAUUAUGAGGUAUCGUGGGACGCUUUCUCAUCUGAUGACCUAGAAGAUGGAUUUAUCUACGGUGAUAACAGGAACCUGCAAGGAGCGAGAUUCAGGGCUGAAGGAGACCUCGAUCCGACUGGGUGUGUCGAGUCUCAGGGCACGGGGUGGUGGUACAACGACGACUGCAACUACGUCAACCUCCAUCUACCACUCAACACAACCGCUGCGGAGUUGUCAACAGCUGGGUCAGCAUCGUGGCCAGUGGGCGGAGUGUUGAGGAAAAUAUACUCGUUCAACAUGAAGGUGGUUAACGGAGGAUGAAAGCCAUGUACGAGUUGAAGCCGGCUUCACCACAUCUGUACGUUUUGCAUCAUUGCGUAUUACGUUAUUUAUUCGUAACUUUCAAAAAUAUAUUUCUACAUGUAGAACUGAGGUGGAGACUGGAUUAAAUGAAAUAUGUUACCAUGGUAAUCGUUGUAUCGGUAUAAUAAAAGGCACUUUAAUCUCA
Haliotis rubra (blacklip abalone) is the source of this 943-nucleotide long non-coding RNA. RefSeq lists it as uncharacterized. The transcript has 2 exons. NCBI's taxonomy places the organism in Eukaryota, Metazoa, Mollusca, Gastropoda, Lepetellida, Haliotidae. The record is from RefSeq and is a predicted model, not a curated record.